Molecule: ribosomal RNA, 254 nt
Filed under: uncultured bacterium
Lineage: Bacteria
Description: partial 16S ribosomal RNA
Rfam family: Bacterial small subunit ribosomal RNA
Source: RNAcentral
UACGGAGGAUCCAAGCGUUAUCCGGAAUUACUGGGCGUAAAGAGUUGCGUAGGUGGCAUAGCAAGCAGAUAGUGAAAGCGUGCGACUCAACCGCAUAUCCAUUAUCUGAACUGCUAAGCUUGAGUAUGGGAGAGGUAGAUGGAAUUUCUAGUGUAGGAGUGAAAUCCGUAGAUAUUAGAAGGAACACCGAUGGCGUAGGCAGUCUACUGGCCCAUUACUGACACUAAGGCACGAAAGCGUGGGGAGCGAACGGG